Molecule: long non-coding RNA, 429 nt
Filed under: Parus major (Great Tit)
Lineage: Eukaryota; Metazoa; Chordata; Aves; Passeriformes; Paridae
Description: lncRNA (ENSPMJG00000011289.1)
Source: RNAcentral
CCCGGGUCCGCCUGCGCCUGCGCCCGGCCCCGAGCGGCGGCGUUGUGUGCGGCCAGUGCCCGUGAGGGGCUGCGCCCUCAGCGGCGCCGCCGGGGCGGGCCCGGCCGCACGGAGAGGCGCUGCGGGAACCGGGGCUGCAGGGCUACUACCGUCCCCCGGGCUGCGAGGAGUGAGAGACACGGAGAGUUUGUUUGCAGAAACAAGCUCGGAGGGACAAGUCGAGAGGCGGCCAUGUGUCAGAUGCCAUAGCAGGAGAUGCCCAUCUGUCUUCCAGCCCACCACGUCCUAAAGAUAACCUUGGAUGUCUGGACAGACUUCACAGCAGCCUCAAAGCUGACAGAUGCAAGAGGGGUCCAAAUGCAUCAGAAAAAGAAGUCUGAAAAUCUUUCAGAUAAGAAAAGUCUCAAAGGAACAGUCUGCUUUUGCUAA